UCACCCUCGUUGGGAGAAACCGCUUCGAUGCGGUGCCGAAGGAGCAACCGCCCCGGAAACUCUCAGGCAAAAGGACCAGCGAGGCCGA
Molecule: non-coding RNA, 88 nt
Organism: Rhizobium sp. 63-7
Lineage: Bacteria; Pseudomonadati; Pseudomonadota; Alphaproteobacteria; Hyphomicrobiales; Rhizobiaceae
Source: Rfam